UGGGGAAUAUUGGGCAAUGGGCGAAAGCCUGACCCAGCAACGCCGCGUGAAGUAUGAAGGCCUUCGGGUUGUAAACUUCUUUGAUCAGGGAAGAAACAAAUGACGGUACCUGAAAAACAAGCCACGGCUAACUACGUGCCAGCAGCCGCGGUAAUACGUAGGUGGCGAGCGUUAUCCGGAUUUACUGGGUGUAAAGGGCGUGCAGGCGGGCUGAUAAGUCAGAUGUGAAAUCCCCGAGCUUAACUCGGGAGCUGCAUCUGAUACUGUUGGUCUUGAGUGCUGGAGAGGAUAGUGGAAUUCCUAGUGUAGCGGUAAAAUGCGCAGAUAUUAGGAGGAACACCAGUGGCGAAGGCGGCUAUCUGGUCAGUAACUGACGCUGAGGCGCGAAAGCGUGGGUAGCAAACAGG
This 407-nucleotide ribosomal RNA is filed under the name Verrucomicrobiota bacterium. Its description in RNAcentral is "Verrucomicrobia bacterium partial 16S ribosomal RNA". It matches the Rfam family "Bacterial small subunit ribosomal RNA", at positions 355 to 776 of the family's 1533-position model. The record is from RNAcentral. Lineage: Bacteria; Pseudomonadati; Verrucomicrobiota.